CCUACGGGUGGCUGCAGUGAGGAAUAUUGGUCAAUGGGCGGAAGCCUGAACCAGCCAAGUCGCGUGAGGGAUUAAGGCCCUGCGGGUCGUAAACCUCUUUUGCCGGGGAGCAGAGGUCCGGACGUGUCCGGGCCGGGAGAGUACCCGGAGAAAAAGCAUCGGCAAACUCCGUGCCAGCGGCCGCGGUAAUACGGAGGAUGCGAGCGUAUUCCGGAUUUAUUGGGUUUAAAGGGGGUGCAGGCGGCGAGUUAGGUCAGCGGUAAAAUUUCGGGGGUCAACCCCGACAAGCCGUUGAAACUGGCUUGCUAGAGGGGGCGAGAGGUAUGCGGAAGGCGUGGUGUAGCGGUGAAAUGCAUAGAUAUCACGCAGAACUCCGAUUGCGAAGGCAGCAUACCGGCGCCCAACUGACGCUCAGGCACGAAAGCGUGGGUAUCGAACAGGAUUAGAUACCCUUGUAGUC
Molecule: ribosomal RNA, 460 nt
Filed under: uncultured bacterium
Lineage: Bacteria
Description: partial 16S ribosomal RNA
Rfam family: Bacterial small subunit ribosomal RNA
Source: RNAcentral